CUCUAGGAGGCCGGUAAAAAACAGGCGGGGUUCGGUCAUGGCCAGAUUGAACGACAGGCGGAUGCUUUUAUACAUGCGUCGAACGGCAGCACGACCUUCGUCUGAAGGCGAGGCAACAGGUGAAGGCCAAAUCAACGGCCUAAAGAGUGGGGAUACUGCCGGUGCGUAGCCAAUAAUGCAUGGCCACCUUCGGAAGUGGGGACCUUCGCCUCGCACUAUUAGGAGCGGCCGAUAUCGGAUUAGCUAGUUGGUGGGGUAACGGCUCACCAAGGCGACGAUCCGUAGCUGGUUUGAGAGGACGACGACCAGCCACACUGGGACCGAGACACGGCCCAGACUGCCGGAGGCAGUGGGGAAUUUUGGACAAUGGGGAAACCCUGAUCCAGCCAUCCCGCGUGUGCGAUGAAGGCCUUCGGGUUGUAAAGCACUUUGGCAGGUGGGAAAGAAACGGCACGGGAUAAUACCCCGUGCAACUGACGGUACCUGCAGAAUAAGCACCGCUAACUACGCCAGCAGCCGCGGUAAUACGUAGGGUGCAAGCGUUAAUCGGAAUUACUGGGUAAAGCGUGCGCAGGCGGUUCGGAAAGAAAGAUGUGAAAUCCCAGAGCUUAACUUUGGAACUGCAUUUUUAACUACCGAGCUAGAGUGUGUCAGAGGGAGGUGAAUUCGCGUAGCAGUGAAUGCGUAGAUAUGCGGAGGAACACCGAUGGCGAAGGCAGCCUCCUGGGAUAACACUGACGCUCAUGCACGAAAAGCGUGGGGAGCAAACAGGAUUAGAUACCCUGGUAGUCCACGCCCUAAACGAUGUCAAUCCGCUGUUGGGGCCUUUCGGGCCUUGGUAGCGCAGCUAACGCAGGAAGUUGACCGCCUGGGGAGUACGGUCGCAAGAUUAAAACUCAAAGGAAUUGACGGGGACCCGCACAAGCGGUGGAUGAUGUGGAUUAAUCGAUGCAACGCGAAAAACCUUACCUACCCUUGACAUGUCUGGAAUCCCGAAGAGAUUUGGGAGUGCUCGCAAGAGAACCGGAACACAGGUGCUGCAUGGCUGUCGUCAGCUCGUGUCGUGGGAUGUUGGGUUAAGUCCCGCAACGAGCGCAACCCGUCAUUAGUUGCUACGAAAGGGCACUCUAAUGAGACUGCCGGUGACAAACUGGAGGAAGGUGGGGAUGACGUCAAGUCCUCAUGGCCCUUAUGGGCAGGGCUUCACACGUCAUACAAUGGUCGGGACAGAGGGUCGCCAACCCGCGAGGGGGAGCAAUCCCAGAACCUGAUCGGGUCCGGAUCGCAGUUCGCAACUCGACCGCGUGAAGUCGGAAUCGCUAGUAAUCGCGGAUCAGCAUGUCGCGGUGAAUACGUUCCCGGGUUCUGUACACACUGCCCGUCACACCAUGGGAGUGGGUUUUACCAGAAGUAGUUAGCCUAACCGUAAGGAGGGCGAUUACCACGGUAGGAUUCAUGACUGGGUGAAGUCGUAACAAGGUAG
RNAcentral lists this ribosomal RNA (1483 nucleotides) under uncultured Bordetella sp. RNAcentral describes it as "partial 16S-23S ribosomal RNA intergenic spacer". It matches the Rfam family "Bacterial small subunit ribosomal RNA". The record is from RNAcentral. Lineage: Bacteria; Pseudomonadati; Pseudomonadota; Betaproteobacteria; Burkholderiales; Alcaligenaceae.